ACACUUCUUAAACACAUCUCUUGACCGGGGUGUUCUCACCAUGCCCUUUCUACAAACAAAAAGAAGGCAAUGUAUCGCAUCCUGUAUUACCUUCCCCUGACCUCAUAGCUUCCCAAAACAGGAACAAUCAUGGGCUUUGAAGUAAAGAAUGAAGAUGUGGAGACCUGGAGACAGGUGGCACCUCGUGCUUCCUCCGAAGGGAGAGCCCAUUUCCUAACAGCUGGAUCAAAGGCAUGAAAUGAACAUGGAGUCCCUGAAGAUGAAGAGAAGUUACAGGAAUGCAGAUGUGAUUCCUAUGGAUGAGGGUAACCUAGAGGCUAGAAGAACAAUAGGACAGAAGAAGCCUGGGUCCCUGAACAACCUUGUGGAGCAUAGACACCUACGUGGCCUGGACUGCCAGCUCACAAUGGGCCUCUCUGUGAGAGAAGGAAACUUCCCUCUUGUUUAAGCAACUGUGCUUUUGAGAAUCUCUUGGUCUAUACCCUAAUGAAUAAGGCCAUCAUAAAUGGAUAUCAAAGUAAGGAAA
Long non-coding RNA from Homo sapiens (human), 526 nucleotides. Ensembl annotates it as long intergenic non-protein coding RNA 2269. Lineage: Eukaryota; Metazoa; Chordata; Mammalia; Primates; Hominidae. The record is from Ensembl.